RNAcentral lists this long non-coding RNA (1030 nucleotides) under Numida meleagris (helmeted guineafowl). RNAcentral's name for it is "lncRNA (ENSNMEG00000002724.1)". The record is from RNAcentral. Lineage: Eukaryota; Metazoa; Chordata; Aves; Galliformes; Numididae.
UUGCCCCUUUGUUACGUGCAGAACCCAGUGACAACCCCAAAUUUGCUCUGUCAGCUCUAGAACCCACUGAGCACCCCAAAUUAACUGCAGAACCUACCGAAGAGCCUAAACAUCCCCCAUGAAGUCUAGAACCCACUGAUGGCCCCAAGCCCGCUUUGUUAGAUCUAGAACCCGCUGACGAGCCCAAAUUAACUCCAAAACCCACAGAUGACCCCAAGAUUUCCCCAUUAACUCCAGAACCCACUAACGACCCCAAGCUCACUUUGUUAGCUCUAGAGCCCAGCGAGAACCCCAAAUUAAUUCUAGAACCCACUGAAAACCCCACAUUCCCCAUCAAGUCUAGAACCCACUGACGACCCCAAACCUACCUUCUUAGCUCUAGAACCCACUGACAAGCCCAAAUUAACUCCAGAACCCACUAACGACCCCAAAUUAAGUCCAGAACCCACUGACGACCCCAAACCCACCUCGUUAGAUCUAGAACCCACUGACGACCCUAAGCUUUCCCCAUUAACUCCAGAACCCACUGACGACCCCAAAUUAACUCCAGAACCCACUGACGACCCCAAACCCACCUUGUUAGACCUAGAACCCACUGAUGACCCCAACAUUUACCCAUUAACUCCAGCACCCACAGACAACCCCAAACGUUCCCCAUCAACUCUGGAACCCAUUAACGACCGCAAGCCCACUUUGCUAGCUCUAGAGCCCACUGAGAACCCCAAAUUAACUCUAGAACCCACUGAAGACCCCAAACAUUCCCCACUAAGCCUAGAACCCACUGGUUACUGCAAACCCGCCUUGUUAGCUCUAGAACCCACAGAGAACCCCAAGCGUUCCCCACUAACUCCGGAACCCCCUGACACCCCCCCCCCCGCACCGUUUGCUCUAGAACCCACGGACGGCCCCCAACCCCACUUCGCCUGCUCUAGAACCCACUGCGGACCCCAGAUAAACUCCAGAACCCACUGGCGACCCCUCCCACCCCCAUGACGUCAUCCAGGGCCCCCCCACACACCCCCCUUCCCUU